Molecule: ribosomal RNA, 503 nt
Filed under: uncultured bacterium
Lineage: Bacteria
Description: bacterial SSU rRNA
Rfam family: Bacterial small subunit ribosomal RNA
Source: RNAcentral
GAUGAACGCUGGCGGCGUGCCUAAUACAUGCAAGUCGAACGAGAGUAGCAAUACUCGAGUGGCGAACGGGUGAGUAACACGUAGGUAACCUGCCUUUUAGUUUGGGAUACCCAGAGGAAACUUUGGCUAAUACCGGAUACGAAUCCUGGAGGCAUCUCUAGGAUUUAAAAGGAGCUUCGGCUCCGCUUUAAGAUGGACCUGCGGCGCAUUAGCUAGUUGGUGAGAUAAUAGCCCACCAAGGCUUGGAUGCGUAGCCGAUCUGAGAGGAUGAACGGCCACAUUGGAACUGAGACACGGUCCAGACUCCUACGGGAGGCAGCAGUAAGGAAUUUUCGGCAAUGGGGGAAACCCUGACCGAGCAACGCCGCGUGAGUGAUGAAGGUCUUCGGAUUGUAAAGCUCUGUUGUCAGGGACGAACGGUAUUCCUAGGAAAUGAGGAGUAUUUGACAGUACCUGGCCAGAAAGCCACGGCUAACUACGUGCCAGCAGCCGCGGUAAACUGU